Molecule: transfer RNA, 73 nt
Filed under: Camelus bactrianus (Bactrian camel)
Lineage: Eukaryota; Metazoa; Chordata; Mammalia; Artiodactyla; Camelidae
Also listed under: 2 other names
Rfam family: tRNA
About the family: Transfer RNA (tRNA) molecules are approximately 80 nucleotides in length. Their secondary structure includes four short double-helical elements and three loops (D, anti-codon, and T loops).
Source: Rfam by way of RNAcentral
AAGGGUAUAGCUCAAGUGGUAGAGCUCAUGCUUAGCAUGCAUGAGGUCCUGGGUUCAAUCCCCAGUGCCUCCU